GACGAACGCUGGCGGCGUGCUUAACACAUGCAAGUCGAACGGAAAGGCCUUUUCGGAGGUACUCGAGUGGCGAACGGGUGAGUAACACGUGGGUGAUCUGCCCUGCACUCUGGGAUAAGCCUGGGAAACUGGGUCUAAUACCGGAUAGGACCGCACUUUAGUGUGUGUGGUGGAAAGUUUUUUCGGUGUAGGAUGAGCCCGCGGCCUAUCAGCUUGUUGGUGGGGUAAUGGCCUACCAAGGCGGCGACGGGUAGCCGGACUGAGAGGUUGGUCGGCCACAUUGGGACUGAGAUACGGCCCAGACUCCUACGGGAGGCAGCAGUGGGGAAUAUUGCACAAUGGGCGCAAGCCUGAUGCAGCGACGCCGCGUGGGGGAUGACGGACUUCGGGUUGUAAACUCCUUUCGCCAGGGACGAAGCGUUUUGUGACGGUACCUGGAGAAGAAGCACCGGCUAACUACGUG
RNAcentral lists this ribosomal RNA (463 nucleotides) under uncultured bacterium. Its description in RNAcentral is "partial 16S ribosomal RNA". It matches the Rfam family "Bacterial small subunit ribosomal RNA", at positions 28 to 507 of the family's 1533-position model. The record is from RNAcentral.